This 353-nucleotide unclassified non-coding RNA is filed under the name soil metagenome. Its description in RNAcentral is "partial contains 5.8S ribosomal RNA, internal transcribed spacer 2, and large subunit ribosomal RNA". The stretch from base 1 to 120 matches the Rfam family "5.8S ribosomal RNA", at positions 35 to 154 of the family's 154-position model. The record is from RNAcentral.
GAUGAAGAACGUAGCGAAAUGCGAUAAGUAAUGUGAAUUGCAGAAUUCAGUGAAUCAUCGAAUCUUUGAACGCACAUUGCGCCCGUCAGUAUUCUGGCGGGCAUGCCUGUUCGAGCGUCAUUACGCCCCUCAAGUCCCCUGUGGACUUGGUGUUGGGGAUCGGCGAGGCUGGUUUUCCAGCACAGCCGUCCCUUAAAUUAAUUGGCGGUCUCGCCGUGGCCCUCCUCUGCGCAGUAAUACAGCUCGCACCGGGACCCCGACGCGGCCACGCCGUAAAACACCCAACUUCUGAACGUUGACCUCGAAUCAGGUAGGACUACCCGCUGAACUUAAGCAUAUCAAUAAGCGGAGGA